This 294-nucleotide long non-coding RNA is filed under the name Musa acuminata (dwarf banana). RNAcentral describes it as "long non-coding RNA (MACU_LNC000702)". Lineage: Eukaryota; Viridiplantae; Streptophyta; Magnoliopsida; Zingiberales; Musaceae. The record is from RNAcentral.
UCGUCAACUACUACCCCAAGUGCCCCCAGCCGGACCUCACUCUUGGCCUCAAACGACACACCGAUCCCGGCACCAUCACCCUCCUCCUCCAAGACCAAGUCGGCGGCCUCCAAGCCACCAAGGAUGGCGGCAAGACAUGGAUCACGGUUCAGCCUGUGGAGGGAGCUUUUGUGGUCAACCUCGGGGACCAUGGCCAUGUGAGUGCAGCUCCUCAUCAAGUCAGCUGACUGUCUCUCUUUAUGAUCUCUUCAAAGAAGAGCCAGAAUCUAAAUCCCCUUUUUCUGAGGCAGUUUC